GCGAGCUCGGAACGACCGGCCGCCCUUUGAGAGCAACGGCCUCCUAAGCCGUUGGUUGCGGGUUCGAAUCCCGUCGGGCGUACCA
Molecule: transfer RNA, 85 nt
Rfam family: tRNA (bases 12-82)
About the family: Transfer RNA (tRNA) molecules are approximately 80 nucleotides in length.